This 93-nucleotide ribosomal RNA is filed under the name Astragalus eremophilus subsp. makranicus. RNAcentral describes it as "partial 26S ribosomal RNA". It matches the Rfam family "Eukaryotic large subunit ribosomal RNA", at positions 1 to 89 of the family's 3401-position model. The record is from RNAcentral. Lineage: Eukaryota; Viridiplantae; Streptophyta; Magnoliopsida; Fabales; Fabaceae.
CGAGACCUGCAGGUCAGGCGGGGCUACCCCGCUGAAUUUAAGCAUAUCAAUAAGCGGAGGAAAAGAAACUAACAAGGAUUCCCUUAGUAACGG